UAUGAGAAGAUACGUCAUGGUGGUGACCGGGCGAAAGAAGAACCAAUUUGCAUCUGAGAGAGGAACAAGAUGCUGCUUACAGGGCUGCUCUUGAAGCCGAUCAAGCACGGGAGAGCCAGAGACAGGAAGAGGAAGAGCGGUUAGAGAGGGAAGCUGAUGUUGCACAAGUUUUGGUAAGGUUCCCGAAUGGAGAAAGAAAAGGGAGGAGGUUUGAAAGCAAUACACCGUAUGACUGCGUUGAUUCAUUUGGAGUGCUUGAAACAGAAGAGUAUAGCUUAAUCACAAACUUUCCAAGAACAGUGUACAGAAGAGACAAAGAGUCAAUGUCACUGAAAGAUGCAGGUUUGCAUCCUCAGACAAGUGUGUUCAUUGAGAUACAUUAAGUCUCAGAUUCUUCUGUUUCUUUCUCCUUAAGCCACUUUUUCAGUUUUUUUUUCCAGCUCUUUUAAAAAAUUAGUAGUGUAGCUUCAGUGAUCUGAUGAAUAAGAUAACAUAUAUAUACACAUAUUUUCAGAAGUUGUGUCACAUAUUUGAUAUAUUUCUUUCUUAAAAUAAUGAGGUCUCGCAUUGUACU
Molecule: long non-coding RNA, 574 nt
Organism: Brassica rapa (field mustard)
Lineage: Eukaryota; Viridiplantae; Streptophyta; Magnoliopsida; Brassicales; Brassicaceae
Source: RefSeq, a predicted model, not a curated record